GUGGGGGAUAUUGCACAAUGGGGGAAACCCUGAUGCAGCGACGCCGCGUGAAGGAAGACGUACUUCGGUAUGUAAACUUCUAUCAGCAGGGAAGAAGAUGACGGUACCUGACUAAGAAGCCCCGGCUAACUACGUGCCAGCAGCCGCGGUAAUACGUAGGGGGCAAGCGUUAUCCGGAUUUACUGGGUGUAAAGGGAGCGUAGACGGUGAAGCAAGUCUGAUGUGAAAACCCGGGGCUCAACUCCGGGAUUGCAUUGGAAACUGUUUUACUUGAGUGCUGGAGGGGCAAGCGGAAUUCCUGGUGUAGCGGUGAAAUGCGUAGAUAUCAGGAAGAACACCGGUGGCGAAGGCGGCCUGCUGGACAUUAACUGACGCUGAUGCGCGAAAGCGUGGGGAGCAAACAGGAUUAGAAACCCGUGUAGUCC
Molecule: ribosomal RNA, 425 nt
Filed under: uncultured bacterium
Lineage: Bacteria
Description: partial 16S ribosomal RNA
Rfam family: Bacterial small subunit ribosomal RNA
Source: RNAcentral